Molecule: long non-coding RNA, 748 nt
Organism: Pygocentrus nattereri (red-bellied piranha)
Lineage: Eukaryota; Metazoa; Chordata; Actinopteri; Characiformes; Serrasalmidae
Exons: 4
Source: RefSeq, a predicted model, not a curated record
UGGGGGAGGGUCGCUGGUGCUGCUCACUCUAUGACGUAACAUCAGUGGUCAAUCUCUGGAGUUGUGACAGGAUUUUAGCAAAAAACUAAAGAUUUUAGGUAAAACUAAAGAUUAGGCUCGAUUCAAGAUAUGUAAAAUAUACAGCAUGAGCCAGUAAAUAGUUACAAAGUGAAGGGGCCAACCUACAAUGCGGAUUUGUCCAGUAUAGAGUCUGUUGAUGGUGGUGAAGUGGUGGCAGCUACAUAGGAGGUCAGUCAGCCAAGGAGAGGGAAGGAAAGAAGCUGAAGGAGACUGACAGGGCUGAAGAAGUCUGAAGAAGGUUGAUGAUCAAGAAGAAAACAUUUUGGGGUCAUUGAAACAUCCUCUGGAGGGAGCAUGGCCCCGGACAAUGUUUGGUUUAGUAAGUUUCAAGGUUUAGCCCGUAUUUAUAAAUGUCUGUUGAUGCCAUAGUACAUUAUGAAAACGUGAGUUAUAUGAGUUAUUGUGAGAAUAAAUGCAAGGAAAACAUUUGACCUUGACCUUGGGAAUUUGUCAUUGUUGGCAGUUCUUUUUAAUGGGCUUAUAUUGCCAUGACAUAUAUUGCCAUUUAGAUACAAGGCAAUGAACGUGCCAGGUGUGGCACUAUUUUUUUAUGCAGCAGCAGUCAAUGUAUAACACCUUUUUUAACAAGCCUCAGGGAACAAAUUUACAAUGUCUUUUGUCUGUGGAUGCACAAGGUUUACAAGAAUAAAAAGACGUUCCUUCCCAA